UCGCAAAUAACGCCACGAAUGUAUGUUCGUGUUG
RNAcentral lists this ribosomal RNA (34 nucleotides) under Melipona beecheii. RNAcentral's name for it is "partial 28S ribosomal RNA". The record is from RNAcentral. Lineage: Eukaryota; Metazoa; Arthropoda; Insecta; Hymenoptera; Apidae.